This 72-nucleotide transfer RNA is filed under the name Candidatus Gottesmanbacteria bacterium RIFCSPHIGHO2_01_FULL_42_12. RNAcentral's name for it is "tRNA-Thr". It matches the Rfam family "tRNA". Rfam says of the family: Transfer RNA (tRNA) molecules are approximately 80 nucleotides in length. Their secondary structure includes four short double-helical elements and three loops (D, anti-codon, and T loops). Lineage: Bacteria; Candidatus Gottesmaniibacteriota. The record is from RNAcentral.
GCCGACGUAGCUCAAUGGUAGAGCACAUGUUUUGUAAACAUGCGGUUAUCAGUCCGAUUCUGAUCGUCGGCU